This 370-nucleotide ribosomal RNA is filed under the name uncultured bacterium. RNAcentral describes it as "bacterial SSU rRNA". It matches the Rfam family "Bacterial small subunit ribosomal RNA", at positions 152 to 520 of the family's 1533-position model. The record is from RNAcentral.
AGAAAUUCGGAUUAACACCGCAUAAAAUCACAGAGCCGCAUGGUUCAAUGAUCAAAUAUUUAUAGGAUGGAGAUGGGCAUGCGUGUCAUUAGUUAGUUGGCGGGGUAACGGCCCACCAAGACCGCGAUGACUAGGGGAUCUGAGAGGAUGACCCCCCACACUGGUACUGAGACACGGACCAGACUCCUACGGGAGGCAGCAGUAAGGAAUAUUGGUCAAUGGGCGCAAGCCUGAACCAGCCAUGCCGCGUGCAGGAAGACGGCCCUCUGGGUUGUAAACUGCUUUUAUUCGGGAAUAAACCUCUCUACGUGUAGAGAGCUGAAUGUACCGAAGGAAUAAGGAUCGGCUAACUCCGUGCCAGCAGCCGCGG